RNAcentral lists this small RNA (90 nucleotides) under Cricetulus griseus (Chinese hamster). The record is from RNAcentral. Lineage: Eukaryota; Metazoa; Chordata; Mammalia; Rodentia; Cricetidae.
UCUCCCAUCCAAGUACUAACCAGUCCUAACCUUGAUUAGCUUCUAAGAUCAGAAGAGGUCGGGCAUGGUCAGAGUGGUAUGGCCGUAGAC